RNAcentral lists this transfer RNA (69 nucleotides) under Callosobruchus maculatus (cowpea weevil). RNAcentral's name for it is "tRNA-Gln". Lineage: Eukaryota; Metazoa; Arthropoda; Insecta; Coleoptera; Chrysomelidae. The record is from RNAcentral.
UAUAUUUUAGUAUAUGAUGUACAUAAGUUUUUGAUACUUAAGGAAUCGGUUUGAGGGCGAUAAAUAUAA